NACACGACUCUCGGCAACGGAUAUCUCGGCUCUCGCAUCGAUGAAGAACGUAGCGAAAUGCGAUACCUGGUGUGAAUUGCAGAAUCCCGCGAACCAUCGAGUCUUUGAACGCAAGUUGCGCCCGAGGCCAUCCGGUCGAGGGCACGCCUGCCUGGGCGUCACG
This 163-nucleotide ribosomal RNA is filed under the name Peyritschia virletii. RNAcentral's name for it is "5.8S ribosomal RNA". It matches the Rfam family "5.8S ribosomal RNA". Rfam says of the family: 5.8S ribosomal RNA (5.8S rRNA) is a component of the large subunit of the eukaryotic ribosome. It is transcribed by RNA polymerase I as part of the 45S precursor that also contains 18S and 28S rRNA. Lineage: Eukaryota; Viridiplantae; Streptophyta; Magnoliopsida; Poales; Poaceae. The record is from RNAcentral.